RNAcentral lists this ribosomal RNA (491 nucleotides) under uncultured bacterium. RNAcentral's name for it is "partial 16S ribosomal RNA". It matches the Rfam family "Bacterial small subunit ribosomal RNA", at positions 29 to 507 of the family's 1533-position model. The record is from RNAcentral.
AGUGAACGCUGGCGGUAGGCCUAACACAUGCAAGUCGAACGGCAGCACAGUAAGAGCUUGCUCUUACGGGUGGCGAGUGGCGGACGGGUGAGGAAUACAUCGGAAUCUACUUUUUCGUGGGGAUAACGUAGGGAAACUUACGCUAAUACCGCAUACGACCUACGGGUGAAAGCAGGGGAUCCUCGGACCUUGCGCGAUUGAAUGAGCCGAUGUCGGAUUAGCUAGUUGGCGGGGUAAAGGCCCACCAAGGCGACGAUCCGUAGCUGGUCUGAGAGGAUGAUCAGCCACACUGGAACUGAGACACGGUCCAGACUCCUACGGGAGGCAGCAGUGGGGAAUAUUGGACAAUGGGCGCAAGCCUGAUCCAGCCAUACCGCGUGGGUGAAGAAGGCCUUCGGGUUGUAAAGCCCUUUUGUUGGGAAAGAAAAGCAGCAGGUUAAUACCCCGCUGUUCUGACGGUACCCAAAGAAUAAGCACCGGCUAACUUCGUG